GCCUAUGAAGACGUCCAAAGCUUCUUGAAUUCGUCUUUUCCAACCAUUGUGUUCAAUGAACUAUUGAGCGCUUUGGACAUGAAAUGUCAAACUGUUGACAGAUUGUCAUCGAUACUAAUGGGCCGAACUGUUGAGCCACAAGUCCGGCCCACUGUCAAAAACGGAGAGCGAGGCAACCAAUCACAGCCAGUCAGACACAAAGGGAGACUCAAGACAGAUGUUCUCAAGUUUGGGCCCAUGUUGCAAAAUGUGCUCAUGCGAUCCAGGAUGAUGACAUGAUGUGCAGCAUCCCGUCCAGCUACGGCGGAGCCGCUCAGACUACGAGCUUGUCCUGUCAUUUAGGGGCUGGGGGAGAAGAACAAGCUGCGAGGCUCGAGGAGAAAUGCCAAGAGAAUGAUGUGAUUCUGUCACCUGCCAUUAUUCAGAGUGCAGGGAUUGAAGCAGAGGAGCCACCGCCGCUGCUCCUCCCCGCACAAGCUGUAUUCCCAGGGGUCAGUAACCCUAAACCCAUGAAAGUGGACCCACUAAGUAGCUGGAGAAAGGGGGAUGAUGCUGUGGUGCAACACCAAGAACAAGCAUCCACCCAAAUGAUGCAUUUCCUCAGAACCGAAGCUAAAACCUUAAAGUGCACUAAAAGCGUGAAUACUUCAAGUCCUUCGCGGCAAACCUCACCUAACAUGGAAGCACAAAAGUGCCAAUUGAGUCGUGCUGUGACCGAUGAUCUGGGCGACUCACCGCCGCCAAAAGCUUUGUGUGCAGACUUUGAAAACCAAGCCCCUGUUUUCAAAGUAAAACGGGUGGAGUCAAGUGGCUCCUUGACCUACAGCUCUGUGAUCGCAACAAAGACUGAAUUGUGGGACGUCGGCGACAUCUUCACAGAGGUGGCGCGGGUGGAGCGUGGCGACAGCCUCCUGGAGAAACCGCGCGGCCGGAAUCCAACGUCCGACUCCUGCGCAGGCGUCCAAUGCGAGACCCAAAGUCCCCGAAGCGACGCGCUCGGACCUCCGGCUCAAAUGGGCGCCGGGAACAGGACGAACAUCCCAGAGUUUGAAAUCAAAAAGUUUCAAGAGACGGAAGUGAUGGUGUCUCAUGUCAUCAGCCCAGGCAGCUUCUACAUCCAGCCUGCAGACUGCAUCCCGAAGCUGCAGAGCCUCAUCACGGGCAGCAGCAGCAGCAGCUGGAAAGCCACUAGUUCAUAUGCCUCGCAGAACAACAUUCCAGACAUUGGAACCCAAGUCAUGGCUUGGUUCCCUGAGCAAGAACAAUGGUGCCGGGCUCAGGUGACCAAGAUAUGUGGCGUAAGUAGAGGUUUUGAUGCCGAUGGAGGUGGUCCGUCCAUCAGUGUAGAGGUGAAGAGGCUGGACUUUGGUGACACCGCUUGUCUGUCACUGGUAGAUAUUAAGGAGCUGACGCCAGACAUGGCCGUCCUUCCACUUCAAUGUGUACAGGUCUCACUAGCAAACGUGACGCCUGCGAAUGGGACACACUGGUCUGAGGAGGCAGUGUGUUGGUUCAAAGAGAUGGUCAGCCACAGGACGCUCUAUGCCAGAAUUUACCCACAAGGGCCCAGAGUUACAGUUGAGCUGUUCUUGGAGAAAGGAAAGCUUGGAGCCAUGAGGCGGGGCGCGCCGCUGUCACUGAGGCUGGCCGAGAACGGACACGCUACACACAGCAAGCUCAAGAACACUGGUCUGAGAGCUGUUCAACUCAAAGCAAGAGGACGCUACUCUGACUGGGAGAAACACCUCAUCUCCUGCUAUACAUACCAUAAGAAGCAUUUUGUGUAGUUUGUAUCUUCCCUGACAAAUGUAGUGGUUCCAUGUCUGUUUCUUGGGAUCCACAUCAAGAUUGAACCGAGGGAACCUUGAUCCUUACUGACAAACAGCUACAAAACCCCAUGUUAGACACA
RNAcentral lists this long non-coding RNA (1909 nucleotides) under Betta splendens (Siamese fighting fish). RNAcentral's name for it is "lncRNA (ENSBSLG00000012184.1)". The record is from RNAcentral. Lineage: Eukaryota; Metazoa; Chordata; Actinopteri; Anabantiformes; Osphronemidae.